RNAcentral lists this small RNA (65 nucleotides) under Pseudomonas sp. 9AZ. Its description in RNAcentral is "ROSE_3". It matches the Rfam family "Repression of heat shock gene expression (ROSE) element". Lineage: Bacteria; Pseudomonadati; Pseudomonadota; Gammaproteobacteria; Pseudomonadales; Pseudomonadaceae. The record is from RNAcentral.
UGUGGGAUGCCGAAGUCGGGUCCUGCGCUUAUUCACUCGCUGAACCUCAGGAGAUUUUUAUGAGC